This 486-nucleotide ribosomal RNA is filed under the name Lomentospora prolificans. RNAcentral describes it as "Scedosporium prolificans Eukaryotic small subunit ribosomal RNA". It matches the Rfam family "Eukaryotic small subunit ribosomal RNA", at positions 1 to 491 of the family's 1831-position model. The record is from Rfam by way of RNAcentral. Lineage: Eukaryota; Fungi; Ascomycota; Sordariomycetes; Microascales; Microascaceae.
UACCUGGUUUAAUCUUGCCAUAAUCAAAUUCUUUGCUCAAAGAUUAAGCCAUUCAUUUUUAAGGAUAAGCAAAUAUUCCGCGAAACUGCGAAUGGCUCAAUAUAUAAGUUAUCGUUUAUUUGAUAGCACAUUACUACAUGGCUAACUGUCGUAAUUCUAGAGCUAAUACAUGCUAAAAAUCCCGACUUCGGAAGCGAUGUCUUUAUUAGAUUAAAAGCCAACGCCCUUCGGGGCUUCCUGCUGAUUCAUAAUAACUGUUCGAUUCGAAUGGGCAUUCGCCGGCGAUGGGUCAUUCUAAUUUAUUCUCUAUCACCAUUCCAUCCGCAGUUAUUGUCUUCGCAUGCAUGCCACCGGUAACGAAGGGGUCUGGUUCGAACCCGGAGCAGCGACCUGAGACACGGGUACUACCUCCAACGAAGGAAUCCUGCCUCCAACUUAACCCAUCACGUCACGGGUGGGUAGCGACAAGAAACUCUUAUACCACGC